Molecule: ribosomal RNA, 885 nt
Filed under: Clonostachys rosea
Lineage: Eukaryota; Fungi; Ascomycota; Sordariomycetes; Hypocreales; Bionectriaceae
Description: LSU rRNA
Rfam family: Eukaryotic large subunit ribosomal RNA
Source: RNAcentral
UAUCAAUAAGCGGAGGAAAAGAAACCAACAGGGAUUGCCCUAGUAACGGCGAAGUGAAGCGGCAACAGCUCAAAUUUGAAAUCUGGCGCAAGCCCGAGUUGUAAUUUGUAGAGGAUGUUUCUGGCGACGUGCCUUCCGAGUUCCCUGGAACGGGACGCCAUAGAGGGUGAGAGCCCCGUACGGUUGGAUGCCUAGCCUCUGUGAAACUCCUUCGACGAGUCGAGUAGUUUGGGAAUGCUGCUCUAAAUGGGAGGUAUACGUCUUCUAAAGCUAAAUACCGGCCAGAGACCGAUAGCGCACAAGUAGAGUGAUCGAAAGAUGAAAAGCACUUUGAAAAGAGGGUUAAAAAGUACGUGAAAUUGUUGAAAGGGAAGCGUUCAUGACCAGACUUGGGCAGGUUGAUCAUCCGUGGUUCUCCGCGGUGCACUCUGCCUGCCCAGGCCAGCAUCAGUUCGCCCCGGGGGAUAAAGGCUUUGGGAAUGUGGCUCCCUCGGGAGUGUUAUAGCCCACUGUGUAAUACCCUGGGGUGGACUGAGGUUCGCGCUCUGCAAGGAUGCUGGCGUAAUGGUCAUCAACGACCCGUCUUGAAACACGGACCAAGGAGUCGUCUUCGUAUGCGAGUGUUCGGGUGUCAAACCCCUACGCGUAAUGAAAGUGAACGUAGGAGAGAGCUUCGGCGCAUCUCCGACCGAUCCUGAUGUUCUCGGAUGGAUUUGAGUAAGAGCAUACGGGGCCGGACCCGAAAGAAGGUGAACUAUGCCUGUAUAGGGUGAAGCCAGAGGAAACUCUGGUGGAGGCUCGCAGCGGUUCUGACGUGCAAAUCGAUCGUCAAAUAUGGGCAUGGGGGCGAAAGACUAAUCGAACCUUCUAGUAGCUGGUUCCGCG